Molecule: ribosomal RNA, 463 nt
Filed under: Vreelandella stevensii
Lineage: Bacteria; Pseudomonadati; Pseudomonadota; Gammaproteobacteria; Oceanospirillales; Halomonadaceae
Description: partial 16S ribosomal RNA
Rfam family: Bacterial small subunit ribosomal RNA
Source: RNAcentral
CCUACGGGUGGCUGCAGUGGGGAAUAUUGGACAAUGGGCGAAAGCCUGAUCCAGCCAUGCCGCGUGUGUGAAGAAGGCCUUCGGGUUGUAAAGCACUUUCAGUGGGGAAGAAAGCCUUGGGGCUAAUACCCUCGAGGAAGGACAUCACCCACAGAAGAAGCACCGGCUAACUCCGUGCCAGCAGCCGCGGUAAUACGGAGGGUGCGAGCGUUAAUCGGAAUUACUGGGCGUAAGCGCGCGUAGGCGGUCUGAUAAGCCGGUAGUGAAAGCCCCGGGCUCAACCUGGGAACGGCAUCCGGAACUGUCAGGCUAGAGUGCAGGAGAGGAAGGUAGAAUUCCCGGUGUAGCGGUGAAAUGCGUAGAGAUCGGGAGGAAUACCAGUGGCGAAGGCGGCCUUCUGGACUGACACUGACGCUGAGGUGCGAAAGCGUGGGUAGCAAACAGGAUUAAUACCCGGGUAGUC